Non-coding RNA from Cinara cedri, 249 nucleotides. Lineage: Eukaryota; Metazoa; Arthropoda; Insecta; Hemiptera; Aphididae. The record is from the annotation of a GenBank genome assembly.
GGAACCUUUGCACUAAUUAUUAUUAAUAGUGUUCGGGUGUUUAUGAAAUUGCCAAUUUUUUUCCGUUUAUCCGAUUCAAUGCUGACCUGGAUACGAAUUCAUGUUCCAUUGAAUCGAAUACUAAUACUAUUUUUAUUUUGCGUGUUCAAGGGUUUUGUAUUUGAAAUGCAUAUUUUAGGAUUUUAAGUAUAUGAAUGUAUGUUUCUGAAUAUUUUCGUACUUUUUUAAAAACAUUUUAAAUUAAUAACG